GAUGAACGCUGGCGGCGUGCCUAAUACAUGCAAGUCGAGCGAACGGACGAGAAGCUUGCUUCUCUGAUGUUAGCGGCGGACGGGUGAGUAACACGUGGAUAACCUACCUAUAAGACUGGGAUAACUUCGGGAAAUCGGAGCUAAUACCGGAUAAUAUUUUGAACCGCAUGGUUCAAAAGUGAAAGACGGUCUUGCUGUCACUUAUAGAUGGAUCCGCGCUGCAUUAGCUAGUUGGUAAGGUAACGGCUUACCAAGGCAACGAUGCAUAGCCGACCUGAGAGGGUGAUCGGCCACACUGGAACUGAGACACGGUCCAGACUCCUACGGGAGGCAGCAGUAGGGAAUCUUCCGCAAUGGGCGAAAGCCUGACGGAGCAACGCCGCGUGAGUGAUGAAGGUCUUCGGAUCGUAAAACUCUGUUAUUAGGGAAGAACAUAUGUGUAAGUAACUGUGCACAUCUUGACGGUACCUAAUCAGAAAGCCACGGCUAACUACGUGCCAGCAGCCGCGGUAAUACGUAGGUGGCAAGCGUUAUCCGGAAUUAUUGGGCGUAAAGCGCGCGUAGGCGGUUUUUUAAGUCUGAUGUGAAAGCCCACGGCUCAACCGUGGAGGGUCAUUGGAAACUGGAAAACUUGAGUGCAGAAGAGGAAAGUGGAAUUCCAUGUGUAGCGGUGAAAUGCGCAGAGAUAUGGAGGAACACCAGUGGCGAAGGCGACUUUCUGGUCUGUAACUGACGCUGAUGUGCGAAAGCGUGGGGAUCAAACAGGAUUAGAUACCCUGGUAGUCCACGCCGUAAACGAUGAGUGCUAAGUGUUAGGGGGUUUCCGCCCCUUAGUGCUGCAGCUAACGCAUUAAGCACUCCGCCUGGGGAGUACGACCGCAAGGUUGAAACUCAAAGGAAUUGACGGGGACCCGCACAAGCGGUGGAGCAUGUGGUUUAAUUCGAAGCAACGCGAAGAACCUUACCAAAUCUUGACAUCCUUUGACAACUCUAGAGAUAGAGCCUUCCCCUUCGGGGGACAAAGUGACAGGUGGUGCAUGGUUGUCGUCAGCUCGUGUCGUGAGAUGUUGGGUUAAGUCCCGCAACGAGCGCAACCCUUAAGCUUAGUUGCCAUCAUUAAGUUGGGCACUCUAAGUUGACUGCCGGUGACAAACCGGAGGAAGGUGGGGAUGACGUCAAAUCAUCAUGCCCCUUAUGAUUUGGGCUACACACGUGCUACAAUGGACAAUACAAAGGGCAGCGAAACCGCGAGGUCAAGCAAAUCCCAUAAAGUUGUUCUCAGUUCGGAUUGUAGUCUGCAACUCGACUACAUGAAGCUGGAAUCGCUAGUAAUCGUAGAUCAGCAUGCUACGGUGAAUACGUUCCCGGGUCU
RNAcentral lists this ribosomal RNA (1372 nucleotides) under uncultured bacterium. RNAcentral describes it as "bacterial SSU rRNA". It matches the Rfam family "Bacterial small subunit ribosomal RNA", at positions 28 to 1381 of the family's 1533-position model. The record is from RNAcentral.